GGGGAUAUAGCUCAGUGGGUAGAGUGCUUGCCUUGCAUGCACAAGGCCCUGGGUUCAAUCCCCAGCACCACCA
RNAcentral lists this transfer RNA (73 nucleotides) under Sciurus carolinensis (gray squirrel). It matches the Rfam family "tRNA". From Rfam's summary of the family: Transfer RNA (tRNA) molecules are approximately 80 nucleotides in length. Their secondary structure includes four short double-helical elements and three loops (D, anti-codon, and T loops). Lineage: Eukaryota; Metazoa; Chordata; Mammalia; Rodentia; Sciuridae. The record is from Rfam by way of RNAcentral. RNAcentral also lists the same sequence under 1 other name.